AAAAUCCGUUGAAUUUUGAAAUUGUGAGGGUUCAAGUCCCUCUAUCCC
This 48-nucleotide transfer RNA is filed under the name Bryobium hyacinthoides. RNAcentral describes it as "partial tRNA-Leu". The record is from RNAcentral. Lineage: Eukaryota; Viridiplantae; Streptophyta; Magnoliopsida; Asparagales; Orchidaceae.